Molecule: ribosomal RNA, 372 nt
Filed under: Rhizophagus intraradices
Lineage: Eukaryota; Fungi; Glomeromycota; Glomeromycetes; Glomerales; Glomeraceae
Description: LSU rRNA
Source: RNAcentral
UUGAAAGGGAAACGAUUGAAGUCAGUCGUACCUGCGGGUAAUCAGCCUUUUGGGCAUGAUUCUGUGGAGCGUGAGGAGUUAAACGCCUUCAUGCCUGCAUAUUCGUGUACUUUGGGUGUACUUGCCUGUGUGGUUAGUUAACAUCAAUUCUGGUUAUCAUAAAAUGGUUGGAGGAAUGUAGCUUCGAUUUCGAUUGAAGUGUUAUAGCCUUCGGCAGAUGUGAUGAUUGGGAUUGAGGAUUGCAACGGAUACCCUUCGGGGCUACCUGUCUGAUCUCUGAUCGUUGCUCUGGUGCCGAAAGCGUGCUUACGGUUAUCAAAGUCGAUGGUCAAUAGGUUAGAACGGGUUAAAUUCGUUAAGGAUGUUGACGUA